Molecule: non-coding RNA, 92 nt
Organism: Pelobates cultripes (western spadefoot toad)
Lineage: Eukaryota; Metazoa; Chordata; Amphibia; Anura; Pelobatidae
Source: the annotation of a GenBank genome assembly
UUAUGUAUAACCUUAUCUCUUUGGCAAAAAGCAAUGUAAAUGAGAAAAAUCCAUUACAUUGCUUUUUGCCAAAGAGAUAAGGUUAUACAUAA